Molecule: ribosomal RNA, 944 nt
Filed under: uncultured bacterium
Lineage: Bacteria
Description: bacterial SSU rRNA
Rfam family: Bacterial small subunit ribosomal RNA
Source: RNAcentral
UGCAGUCGAACGAGCGAGAGAGAGCUUGCUUUCUCAAGCGAGUGGCGAACGGGUGAGUAACGCGUGAGGAACCUGCCUCAAAGAGGGGGACAACAGUUGGAAACGACUGCUAAUACCGCAUAAGCCCACGACCCGGCAUCGGGUAGAGGGAAAAGGAGCAAUCCGCUUUGAGAUGGCCUCGCGUCCGAUUAGCUAGUUGGUGAGGUAACGGCCCACCAAGGCGACGAUCGGUAGCCGGACUGAGAGGUUGAACGGCCACAUUGGGACUGAGACACGGCCCAGACUCCUACGGGAGGCAGCAGUGGGGAAUAUUGCACAAUGGGGGAAACCCUGAUGCAGCGACGCCGCGUGGAGGAAGAAGGUCUUCGGAUUGUAAACUCCUGUUGUUGAGGAAGAUAAUGACGGUACUCAACAAGGAAGUGACGGCUAACUACGUGCCAGCAGCCGCGGUAAAACGUAGGUCACAAGCGUUGUCCGGAAUUACUGGGUGUAAAGGGAGCGCAGGCGGGAAGACAAGUUGGAAGUGAAAUCCAUGGGCUCAACCCAUGAACUGCUUUCAAAACUGUUUUUCUUGAGUAGUGCAGAGGUAGGCGGAAUUCCCGGUGUAGCGGUGGAAUGCGUAGAUAUCGGGAGGAACACCAGUGGCGAAGGCGGCCUACUGGGCACCAACUGACGCUGAGGCUCGAAAGUGUGGGUAGCAAACAGGAUUAGAUACCCUGGUAGUCCACACUGUAAACGAUGAUUACUAGGUGUUGGAGGAUUGACCCCUUCAGUGCCGCAGUUAACACAAUAAGUAAUCCACCUGGGGAGUACGACCGCAAGGUUGAAACUCAAAGGAAUUGACGGGGGCCCGCACAAGCAGUGGAGUAUGUGGUUUAAUUCGACGCAACGCGAAGAACCUUACCAAGUCUUGACAUCCUGCGACGGUGCUGGAAACAGUACUU